CAAGGAAUCUUCCGCAAUGGGGGCAACCCUGACGGAGCAACGCCGCGUGGGGGAUGACGCCCUUCGGGGUGUAAACCCCUUUUCUGCGGGAAGAAGGGCUUCGGCCUUGACGGUACCGCAGGAAGAAGGACCGGCUAACUACGUGCCAGCAGCCGCGGUAAUACGUAGGGUCCGAGCGUUGUCCGGAGUUACUGGGCGUAAAGCGCGCGCAGGCGGCGGUGCUGGCCCGGCGUGAAAGCCCCCGGCUCAACCGGGGAGGGUCGUCGGGGACCGCACCGCUUGAGGGCGGUAGGGGCUGGUGGAAUGCCUGGUGUAGUGGUGAAAUGCGUAGAGAUCAGGCGGAACACCCGUGGCGAAGGCGGCCAGCUGGGCCGUCCCUGACGCUGAGGCGCGAAGGCGUGGGGAGCGAACGGG
Molecule: ribosomal RNA, 414 nt
Filed under: Bacillota bacterium
Lineage: Bacteria; Bacillati; Bacillota
Description: Firmicutes bacterium partial 16S ribosomal RNA
Rfam family: Bacterial small subunit ribosomal RNA
Source: RNAcentral